GGCUAUCGUAGGAUGAUAUGAGAGGAGCAGGUCAUGACUAUGCCUGGCACUGAACCUAGGACUCAGAGCAGCUUGUGAAUGUCACUCACUGUCCUUCCUUAUUUCUUGAGCCUGCAAAUGUUAAGGAUGCAGCAAGACUGGAGCAAAGGGCUGGAAGAAUAAGGACUGGAGUAAGAGAGCCAUGAGUGCAAGAAAGGCCCUACCAGCUAUUCUGGGGAAUAUAUACAAUAGUCCCUUCUUA
RNAcentral lists this long non-coding RNA (241 nucleotides) under Pan troglodytes (chimpanzee). RNAcentral describes it as "long non-coding RNA NONPTRT005761". Lineage: Eukaryota; Metazoa; Chordata; Mammalia; Primates; Hominidae. The record is from RNAcentral.